Long non-coding RNA from Leopardus geoffroyi (Geoffroy's cat), 1455 nucleotides. RefSeq lists it as uncharacterized. Lineage: Eukaryota; Metazoa; Chordata; Mammalia; Carnivora; Felidae. The record is from RefSeq and is a predicted model, not a curated record. The transcript is spliced from 2 exons.
GUUGGACACUUAACCAACUGAACCACCCAGGCAGCCCUAAAUCACAGGGUUUUAAUUUUGAUGUCAAUUUAUCAAAUUUUCCUUCUACUGUUUUGGCUUUUAUUGUCAUACCUAAGAAACUAUAGCCUAUUCAAGUGUCAUGAAGAUUUUUGCCUGUGUUUCUUCUAAGAGUUUAACAGUUUUAGCUCUUAUGUUUAGGUCUAUGAUCCAUUUGGAGUAUAUGAUGUGAGGUAGGGGUCCAAAUUCAUUCUUUUGUGUGUGGAUAUCCAGUUGUCAAAACACCAUCUGUUGAAAUAACUAUUGUUUUCCAUUGAAUGUUCUUGACACUGUUCUCAAUAACAAAUAUCUCUAGAUAUAUGGGCUUAUUUUUGGACUCUCACUUCUACUGGAUUGAUCUGUGGGUGUAUCCUUAUGCCAGUACCACACUGUUUUGACUGCUGACAAAGGCAGCAAUUUCAGACUAUAAAAUAGAAAACUGAGGAGCUUGACAAAGACACUGGGAAAAGUUUCCUGGUAAUAGCCAAGAUGUGAAUGGUCUUCAAGGUGCACAAAAGACAACUGUUGAAAAGAAGUGGGGUGAUUAGCAUCUCCAUAGACAAACAUAGUCACAUUAUCUUGGAAGAAUUUUAGGUAAGACAUCCAAAAUAUUAGGCAACAGUGAAAUAUAGGCAAGAACAGAAUGAAACAAAGAAUGAGAGUGGCUAAAGGGCAGGGCUUGGAGGAAACACCCUCUGCCUGCCAUGUGUGCAGAUGAUGAGAAAGAAUGGUGGGUCAGUUCAGGAAAGCUCUUGAAAGGGUUGUUGAGAAAAUUCCCACUCUCUCCAACCAGACCUUCUUGGUUUACCCAGCACCCCCACCCCCAGGGAGGAGCCAGGAGUGAUUCUUUGUGAUGUCUAAGCUCACACCCACCCACCCAGCAUAUCCCCUACUGGCUGGGGCAAGUGCCUAACUGAACAAACAAAGCCAAAGGGUGUGGCUCCUCAUUGUACCACUAAGGGGUAUUUUACAGUCUGGUCAGGAGCUCUGGAGAAGACCAUUGGGAGGUUUCAACACGGCUAAAGUUACCAGGAAGCCAGAGGGAGUGAGCACAGUUAUGAAACAACCAACACUAAGCACAAGACAAUUAACCCCAAACACAAAAAAGAAGAAGAGAAAGAACCACUAUCAACCCAGAUCCACAGGGACUGGCAAGGUAAACAAGAUACAGAGGGGAAUAAAAAGACUGCUUUGUGGAAAGUCAAGAAAAAAAUCCUCUCAUAUUAGUACAACAAUUCCAAGGAAGGUGAAGAGAGUGAAAAAAGCCAAGAAGUUUCGGCCUUUUACAAAAAUUGAGUAGUAGCCUACACUCAGAUCACUGAGUUCAGGCCCAGAAGACCCUGCCAAAUGACAAUCCUACAAGGUCUAACACCAUAUGGAACAGAGAUGAUGAUGAUUAAAAUAAAAUCGACAACCUUU